UAAGGAAUAUUGGUCAAUGGAGGCAACUCUGAACCAGCCAUGCCGCGUGCAGGAAGAAGGCCCUAUGGGUCGUAAACUGCUUUUGAACAAGAGAAAACCCCGGUACGUGUACUGGGUUGAUAGUAUUGUUAGAAUAAGCAUCGGCUAACUUCGUGCCAGCAGCCGCGGUAAGACGAAGGAUGCAAGCGUUAUCCGGAUUCAUUGGGUUUAAAGGGUGCGUAGGCGGACUGAUAAGUCAGUGGUGAAAUCUCUCGGCUUAACCGAGAAACUGCCAUUGAUACUGUUAGUCUAGAGUACAGAUGAUGUGGGCGGAAUAUGACAUGUAGUGGUGAAAUACUUAGAUAUGUCAUAGAACACCGAUUGCGAAGGCAGCUCACAAAACUGUAACUGACGCUGAGGCACGAAAGUGCGGGGAUCAAACAGGAUUAGAUACCCACGUAGUCCCUGAGCGGGCUGGCAAGGCGC
This 465-nucleotide ribosomal RNA is filed under the name uncultured bacterium. RNAcentral describes it as "bacterial SSU rRNA". It matches the Rfam family "Bacterial small subunit ribosomal RNA", at positions 355 to 823 of the family's 1533-position model. The record is from RNAcentral.